RNAcentral lists this ribosomal RNA (468 nucleotides) under uncultured bacterium. RNAcentral describes it as "partial 16S ribosomal RNA". It matches the Rfam family "Bacterial small subunit ribosomal RNA", at positions 28 to 507 of the family's 1533-position model. The record is from RNAcentral.
GACGAACGCUGGCGGCGUGCUUAACACAUGCAAGUCGAACGGAAAGGCCCUGCUUUUGUGGGGUGCUCGAGUGGCGAACGGGUGAGUAACACGUGAGUAACCUGCCCUUGACUUUGGGAUAACUUCAGGAAACUGGGGCUAAUACCGGAUAGGAGCUCCUGCUGCAUGGUGGGGGUUGGAAAGUUUCGGCGGUUGGGGAUGGACUCGCGGCUUAUCAGCUUGUUGGUGGGGUAGUGGCUUACCAAGGCUUUGACGGGUAGCCGGCCUGAGAGGGUGACCGGCCACAUUGGGACUGAGAUACGGCCCAGACUCCUACGGGAGGCAGCAGUGGGGAAUAUUGCACAAUGGGCGGAAGCCUGAUGCAGCAACGCCGCGUGCGGGAUGGCGGCCUUCGGGUUGUAACCCGCUUUCGCCUGUGACGAAGCGUGAGUGACGGUAAUGGGUAAAGAAGCACCGGCUAACUACGUG